AAGUGUUUUCAAUAUUCGU
This 19-nucleotide small nuclear RNA is filed under the name Arabidopsis thaliana (thale cress). RNAcentral describes it as "snRNA_17677". Lineage: Eukaryota; Viridiplantae; Streptophyta; Magnoliopsida; Brassicales; Brassicaceae. The record is from RNAcentral.